UACAGAGGUCCCAAGCGUUGUUCGGAUUCACUGGGCGUUAAGGGGGCGUAGGUGGUGAGGUAAGUCGGAUGUGAAAGCUCGGAGCUCAACUCCGAAAUGGCAUUGGAAACUACCUCGCUAGAGGAUCGGAGGGGAGACUGGAAUUCUCGGUGUAGCAGUGAAAUGCGUAGAUAUCGAGAGGAACACCAGUGGCGAAGGCGAGUCUCUGGACGAUUCCUGACGCUGAGGCACGAAAGCCAGGGGAGCAAACGGG
Molecule: ribosomal RNA, 253 nt
Filed under: uncultured bacterium
Lineage: Bacteria
Description: partial 16S ribosomal RNA
Rfam family: Bacterial small subunit ribosomal RNA
Source: RNAcentral